CCCCUCCCCACACCACCACAGGACAGCCUCCAACAUCAUCAUAAUUACAGGGGAGGACUGAAGGAUGGAAGCGCUCUGAAUGUGUCGUGGUAAUCCUCUACCAUAUCAGGAGCACCAGACAAAAUGCUGAUAGUAUGUGGCCAGGCACCAGUCCCACUUCAGAUGGAGGACAGGAGAGAUGGUUUGUCAUUGGUUGAGGCAAACUCUGUCAUAUCCAGGAUGGAGUGUCAUGCAUUCCACCCCUCCUGCCGCUUGACUGUACCUGUUCAUAAUCUCCAAUACAUUACAUAGAUGGAAGGAAUUUAAUCACCCAAUGGAGACUUGAAGACAGAACCUCAUGCAGAGAGCUGUGCAUGUCACUGUGUGGUUCGACAGCCAAAUAGAAUAGGUCGUUAUCAAUAAAACUACACAGUUUCAGAAACUUGUGGGUAGCCAGAUCCAUUUGGCAAAAAGAUAGCUAGCUAAGCAAACAACAUGUCAUUUAGCUUGCUUCAUCAGAGAUUAUGCUUUAGGAAAAAGCUUGACAUCGGCAAGUCCUUGUCCUGGUAAAUCUGUUAGUCAGACUACUCCCAGUGGGCAAAACCUGUUUGAAAAGACAUCAG
Oncorhynchus tshawytscha (Chinook salmon) is the source of this 602-nucleotide long non-coding RNA. NCBI's taxonomy places the organism in Eukaryota, Metazoa, Chordata, Actinopteri, Salmoniformes, Salmonidae. The record is from Ensembl.